RNAcentral lists this ribosomal RNA (858 nucleotides) under Triticum aestivum (bread wheat). RNAcentral's name for it is "partial small subunit ribosomal RNA". The record is from RNAcentral. Lineage: Eukaryota; Viridiplantae; Streptophyta; Magnoliopsida; Poales; Poaceae.
AUGGCCGAAUGCUUCAAUAGGGUGGUCAAAGGUGCACGUGGAUUACCCGUGACGGCAAUAGUUCAAUACACAUUUGACAAGAUGAAUGCGUACUUUGUAAAGUACUCGAUGGAAACCGAUGCACAGAUAGCGGGUGAGAACCCACGGAAGUACAAGUACAAGUUCCCACCCAAAGUUGAUGAAUGGUUGGUAUUUCAAUCACGGAAGGCGGACUCAGAAGAAGCUAUAUUAUAUGACAACGAAGAGUGGAAGUACGAAGUGAAAGAGCCAGGAGGAACCACAAACGAUGGCCGGCAACAUGGAGGUCGGGCUUUCAAGGUGUCGUUAACACAAUGUGAUUGCACUUGCAGGAGGCCAUUGUUGCUUCAUCUCCCAUGCUCACAUUUGUAUGCCGCCGGUCGCAUUAGGAAUGUGGACAUCAAUCACCCACGCACCGUGAGGGAGUCGGAGUUCUCAAUCAUGACGGUCAAGAAAACAUGGGCUCCCCGCUUUCACCCAUACUUUGACCAAUCACAAUGGCCGGAGUAUCAUGGAGUUCAACUAUGGCCGGAGUAUCAUGGAGUUCAACUAUGGCCGGAUCCGGAGUUGAAGGUUGUUAAACGGGGUAGACGUAAGACAAAGCGUCUUAGAGGCGACAUGGACGGAUGGGGCCAUGGUGGGUGCCGCGAAGCGGGCAACGACCAAUUCCAAGAGCCUCGUGAGAGCUCCCGUUGUGGGGAGUGCAAAGGUCAUGGCCACAACAAAAGAAAAUGUACGAAACCAAGGAAAAGGUCCAAGAAAAAUGAUGCAAGCACAAGCCAACAAGGAGCUACACAAGGGAGCCAACCAAGUGGUAGCCAACCUAGUGGUAGCCAUUAA